CGAGUUGGCCGGGCGACCGCGGAGAAAUUCGAGGAAAGUCCGGACUUCACAGAGCAGGGUGAUUGCUAACGGCAAUCCGGGGCAACCCGCGGGACAGUGCCACAGAAAACAGACCGCCACCUGAGCCGUUUGGGCAGGUGGUAAGGGUGAAAAGGUGCGGUAAGAGCGCACCAGCAUCCCGGGUGACCGGGAUGGCUAGGUAAACCCCACCCGAAGCAAGGCCAAGAAGGCCGCGACCUGGUCGCGGCUGCGCAAGCGUUCGAGGGCUGCUCGCCCGAGCUUGCGGGUAGGCCGCUUGAGGCACCCGGCGACGGUGUGUCCAGAUGGAUGGUCGCCGCCUCACCGGUUACCCGGUGAGGGACAGAAUCCGGCUUACAGGCCAACUCGUUCC
This 391-nucleotide RNase P RNA is filed under the name Mycolicibacterium diernhoferi. RNAcentral describes it as "RNase P RNA component class A". It matches the Rfam family "Bacterial RNase P class A". From Rfam's summary of the family: Ribonuclease P (RNase P) is a ubiquitous endoribonuclease, found in archaea, bacteria and eukarya as well as chloroplasts and mitochondria. Its best characterised activity is the generation of mature 5'-ends of tRNAs by cleaving the 5'-leader elements of precursor-tRNAs. Lineage: Bacteria; Bacillati; Actinomycetota; Actinomycetes; Mycobacteriales; Mycobacteriaceae. The record is from RNAcentral.